GCAGGUAGCUAAAACAACUCCAAAAUCAUCACUGGUCAGAGAUGCUAAGUUUCAAUCAGGACCUGACUUCUUGAAGUUUCACUGCGUCUGAACUGAGUGAUUUCAUUGCAUCAUUAACAGUGCAGCAAAAUGUUUGGAUACUCUCCUCAUCUCCCUGGAAAAUGCUAGACCUGCUGAAAUCAGCACAGCCAGUUCAGCAAAGCUGCAUGUUAGGGACUGCUGUUUCUUGUUGGUCUGCACAAGUGCACAUACCCAUAUGUUUCUGGGAGAUGUAAAACCAUAAUAUUGCUGCUGUGUAAUCCACAACAAAAGCACGUGAGAACUGCAUUCCUUGGAUUCCUGUACAGUAGACUAAUCCACUUAAUCUCGCUGUUUGCUUCUCUGGCUGGAAUUUCACAGCCUCCUCUGAGUUACUGGUUUGUAAAUCUCUUUUUAAGUGUCUCUCUUUCUUUUUCAUUUUUUUGGGGAGGUGAAGAGGCUAGGGGAUACGAUUUCUGAAACUUCAUUUUCUCUCUCAGAUGAUUUUAUGGAAAGGAACUGUGGAAGUUGAGAUGAAGGUUAGAUGGAUUUUUUUUCUGUCAUCAUUUUAUCAUCAUCUGAUAAUCUUAUAAAAAGUUCAUCAAGAGUUUUCUCUGGUCUCUCAGGUCUUAUGUGCACAGGUCAUCCCUUUUUGUCACAUGGCAACAUUUCCACUCCCCAGCCUCACAAGUUCCCUAUGUUGUGUUUUCAAACAAAGAUGAUAACCAAGAUGUGUGGAAGUUCUUUUCUUUCCUGUUAGCACACCAAUAGUUAUGGACAAGCACAGAACACGGGAGCUAGAUGAUUGUUGUGAGGCAAAUUGUCAAAAUCCUACUGCUCUGGCUUUUGAAGAGGCAUUUGUGUAGCAUAGUUAUGAAUGCAAGAUAAAUCUUUAGCUAAGCAGGUAGAUAAAUGAGGUAGCUUGGUCUCAGAAGGUGCUCAGCUGAUACUAAUAUCAAUUUAAGACCUGCUUUUGAACUACAAAAGUGUGAGUAAAUAAUAGAGGUGGAUUGCCUGACUUAAUGAGUCAUAAAGGAUGGGAAAUAAAACACUGUGUUCCUGAAGUAAACCCUUCAUUUAAAAUAAUAA
Molecule: long non-coding RNA, 1107 nt
Organism: Pogoniulus pusillus (Red-fronted tinkerbird)
Lineage: Eukaryota; Metazoa; Chordata; Aves; Piciformes; Lybiidae
Exons: 2
Source: RefSeq, a predicted model, not a curated record